RNAcentral lists this ribosomal RNA (462 nucleotides) under uncultured bacterium. RNAcentral's name for it is "SSU rRNA". It matches the Rfam family "Bacterial small subunit ribosomal RNA", at positions 26 to 518 of the family's 1533-position model. The record is from RNAcentral.
AGGAUUAACGCUGGCGGCGUGCCUAACACAUGCAAGUCGAACGAGGUAGCAAUACCUAGUGGCAGACGGGUGAGUAGCGCGUGGUCAACCUACCGUUGAGUGGGGGAUAACUAGCCGAAAGGUUAGCUAAUACCGCAUACGUCUCCGAGGGGCAUCCCUUGGCGAUAAAAAGGAGCAAUCCGCUCGAUGACGGGACCGCGUCCCAUUAGCUAGUUGGUGGGGUAACGGCCUACCAAGGCAUCGAUGGGUAGCUGGUUUGAGAGAGCGACCAGCCACACUGGGACUGAGAUACGGCCCAGACUCCUACGGGAGGCAGCAGUGAGGAAUUUUCCGCAAUGGGCGAAAGCCUGACGGAGCGACGCCGCGUGUGGGAAGAAGGCCUUCGGGUCGUAAACCACUGUCGAAGGGAAGAUAAUGACGGUACCUUGGAGGAAGCCCGGCUAACUACGCGCCAGCAGCCGC